Molecule: non-coding RNA, 2888 nt
Organism: Peromyscus maniculatus bairdii (prairie deer mouse)
Lineage: Eukaryota; Metazoa; Chordata; Mammalia; Rodentia; Cricetidae
Source: RefSeq, a predicted model, not a curated record
AUAACAUGGAAAGCUUUUGCUCUUUCAUUAUAACUAAUCAUUUGUCACAUGUUAUGGCUCUAACUUCUACAGUUUGAUUUCAACAUCAAUAUUAGAUACAUUUGUUCUUCUUUAAAAUUUCAUGGGCUUGAAAUUUACUCUUACUACAGAUCUUAGCAUAUGACUUUAAAAUGUUUAUUGUAUUAAUUCAAGAACUACUGUUCACUUCAAGGAAGAAUUUAUGCUUCUCAAAGGCAUAGCUGAACUCCCAAGACUACCACUCCCACAUCUGGGUUCAUCAUUAAGAGCAAUUACUUGAACACAGGAUGCUAGAUCUUGUAAAAUUUACUCAUGAAUAUGCUAUGGUAUCUGCAAUGCUUCCUGGAUGGAACUUCAGAGAGAGAGAGAGAGCAUAUGGCCUCCAUCACAGUGUCCUCCAGGCUGCUGCUUGGCAUAGGGAAGUAGUGAGAGGCAUCCAAACUUUCAAAGAUCGUGAUUUGGUCUAUGGCCAUUCCAUCCUGAAUGAAUCCUGUCUUGUCUGACUGCAGAAACCCAUACUUCCUAACUGUUGGAUUUAAAGACAAAGUCUUUCAUUCAUCUAGAACUCCCCAGGCAGACCAGGCUGACCAGCCAGAGCUUCAGGAAUUCGCCUGACUCCAUCUUUACAAUGCUGUGAUUACAACCUCGAGCCACGGUGCUGGCCUUUUUACACGGGUGCUGUGGACUGAACUGACGUUCUCAUGCGGGCGAAGCAUGCACUUCAUUGAUGGAGCUCUCUUCCCCUCCUCCCCUCACCACAUCUGUCUGAAAGUGAGUUAUCGGAAGCACAGCCACAGAAGUCGUGGAUUUAUUUCAAAAAAAGUUUCAAGCUUAGAUGUUUCAGUAAAUACUUGAUGAGGAACUAUGAAUUCUUUCUUGCUGAGAGAAAAGGGGACUUGGCUUUUUGAAAGUGGCCGAUUAUUUUAUACAUUCUUACUUUCCUCCCGAGUCCUUAUCCCUUUAUACCUGGCUGACCAUCUCAGUUAGCUUUUCCUUAGGCAUCUUCAAAGGAGUUCAAAAUCGAAGAAAUAUAAGCCAACACAUCACCCCAUUCUUGUUGGCAGAAGAAAGACCUCUCUGAGAUUCAGGAUUUACCCUAAGUAUUUCAUAUUAAAUAACCAUAGUAGGUUAAGAUUCCAAUUUGCUCGGGCUCUUUACAGGCAAGAAUACAAAAAGAGAAUGGGACUAACAAGACCACUCAGCAGGUAAUGGCAUUUGCCGCCAAGCCUGAUGAUCUGAGUUUGAUCCUUAGGAACCACAUGAUAGGAGAAGAGACUCCUCUAAGUUGUCCUCUGCCCUCCAUACAUGUGCCCUGGCACAUGCAUGUCACAAUCAUAUGCUGGUAAAAACAUACUAAAUACACGAAUAAACAUAACACAUUUAAAAAAAAGAGAAUAAUGAUGCUAGAACUUCCCUGGAAUUAUAUAACCAGGUUGAUUUAUAAGGUAACUAUCUCUGUAUUAGGUAAUAUGAACCUACCCUAUUAAGUAUAUAUCUAUAUCUAUAAUCUAUAUAUAUCUAUAUAUCUAUUAAUAACUGUGAAAGAUAUCUAUCUUGUCUUUUAUAUUCAUGUCCACAAAUUAAACAGAUGGCUGACAUAUAUGCUUUAUUGGGGGUGUUUUAGUAAUCCUUAGCAUAUGACUUCAGACUUUUAGAGGCUCCAAAGAGCCCGUGAAGGCUCCUCACCAAAGCUACAUGCAGAGAUCCUGUUAGAUGGAAGCUUAUUCAUGUUUGGAGAAGAGGAACAAACCCCAACUCCCCCAAGGAGCUGAAGUUUCUGAGUAUAAGUUUAACAAGCACAUGUCCACACCACAUGAGGACAUGUGCUUGUGAACAUGGAUGGCACAGCCUACGACCCUCACCCCAAAAGCACAGGAAGAAAAGACUAACAGACUUCCUCUAACUCCAAGGUUCUUUCAAGUCUUCAUCGCCAAAGUAGAUCAAGGGCACUAACAAACUUCCAGCUUCUCUUUCCCCAUAAGCCCAGCCUGUUUCCAAAUCUAUGAAGCAGAGCCAGCCUUCAGCCCGUUGAUAGAGUUUCCCAAACGAUGAAUCAGUCUCUCAUGUUCUGCAGGAACAGGUAGAUAUGAAUUGCGACCUCCUGAGGUGAGAUUCUGCCAAUGGCUGUCUCUAACUUCCAUAAGAAAGGUAAGGUUUGCUCUGCAGCAUCCAAACACACGGUACACAGAUGUCCUGCUCUGCUGGGGCAGAUUUUCAUUGCAAACAGGGGAGUGAAUGGAAAGGUUUGUUUCUCUUAUCUCCACAUCGAACAUCCUACCAGUCGUGACCUAGUCCUCUACACACACUCCAUGCCAGCAGGGGUGUAGGAGACAGUAUCUGACUUCUGUCACACUUACCCACCAUAAUAGCUAAAACCAUUUUCCAACUUAGUCUUUCUCCUGGGAAGGAGCCCAGGGCCAUAGAAGCCACUCAUUCAUCACCUGUCACAGCCCAGUGAUCCUCUGAGCAGACAUACUGGGCUAGGAAAAUUGGUUUGACAGCCCCGAGGUCAGCUUGCCUAGUGACUGAAGACUUGCCUUUACGACCCUCAAGUGUGUAUAAUACCGUGUCUUCUGCAUGGACACUGUUCCUCAUAUGCUAUUAGCAAUGAUGAAUCUGGAAAAAAAAUAAUGCCAAGGCACAGCAGGGCCAAGCUUGAGGACUAUACCACACAAGGAAGAAUGUCACCAAGAGACAGUGACAACAAACUCAGGACAGCCCUCCUGAUACUCAUGCAUUAGCCUUCAUCUUAGGAUUUCAGAAAUCGAUGUUUGCGAGACCCUACACCUCCAGCCUCUGGUAUUUUUCACAUCAUGGUCUUAAUUUUUCAAACCGAUGUCUGUCAUCCUGGACAAUUUUAUGUGUAAUGA